GUUACAGUAGCUUAAUGGUAGAGCGAUACAAUUUUUGUAUAAGUAUAGGUUCGACCCCUAUCUGUAACA
Molecule: transfer RNA, 69 nt
Filed under: Muribaculaceae bacterium
Lineage: Bacteria; Pseudomonadati; Bacteroidota; Bacteroidia; Bacteroidales; Muribaculaceae
Description: tRNA-OTHER
Rfam family: tRNA
About the family: Transfer RNA (tRNA) molecules are approximately 80 nucleotides in length. Their secondary structure includes four short double-helical elements and three loops (D, anti-codon, and T loops).
Source: RNAcentral